Long non-coding RNA from Cavia porcellus (domestic guinea pig), 2312 nucleotides. RefSeq lists it as uncharacterized. The record is from RefSeq and is a predicted model, not a curated record. NCBI's taxonomy places the organism in Eukaryota, Metazoa, Chordata, Mammalia, Rodentia, Caviidae. The transcript has 2 exons.
UGAAGCAAAACAAAAUCUAUAAGGUGUAAGACUGCUUAAAUUACUAACUUUUUUUGAUAUUCAAAUACAAGUGGCAACUUAAUUUGUUUUCUUGUAGGUGGUAGUUUUCUUCAUACUGUUCUUUUAUGUGACAAAUUUGACUUCAGUACUGCUUUAGUGGUUUGUCUUCUUAAUACUGCUUUGAAUUGGAUGAAUGAAUUUGAGAAAUGGCAAGAAGGAUUAAGAGAUGAUGAGAAACUUUAGGUUCUCUGAAUUAGCAACUAUGAAAUGUCCUCAGGAGAGAAGUUACAUGCUGCAGAGGUGGCAAGAAGAUGGUGGUGUUAUGAUAUAGAGUAUGAGAUGUACAGAAUCUUGUUCAAUGAAGAAAUGUAAAGAGUCAAAAACUUUUAAAAAAUUUUAAUAAAGCUUUAGUUAAUCCAGGUAAGUUUUUAACAAAUACCGAUUAGUGAAACAAGUUGAAAAAUGUGUUUAUAUUUUCUGUAACAAAUAUUAAUUAAGCAGCUACUAAAUACUGAUUUUUGAUCCAUUUGUACUUAAGAUUUAUGUCUUUUGAUUCUUAAUAUUGGUUAUUUUUUCAUAGAGAUAAAAUGCUCUUUCAUGUUGCUUGUUUUUCAAAAUUUAAUUAUUAAGUCUGGAGUGUUAAGAAUUUUCAGAGUCUCAGACAAAAGUGCAUCAGCUACUUAAUGUCACUAAUGUUCUUAAAGCUGUGUAAACAUUAGAUGAUUGUGAAUUCUCUGCAUACUCUGAAAACAUUUACACCUCUUUCCAGAAUUCAUGUUAUCAAAAGAAUUGCUGUUAGCUUAUUUCUUUUAAAGGGUAAUCAAUUUGAAAAGGUAAUAUUUCCAAUACUUUCAAUCCUUGAGAAAUGGUAAUCUGAUAUGAGAGCUAACUAUUUGAGCUUUGUUUGCUUUGUGAGACAGGGUGUCAUUGUGUAGUUCAGGUGGGCCUCAAAUUUCAGCAGUCUUCUUGCUGCAGCCUUCUGAGCUUUGGGAUUAUAGGUGUGCACCACUGUGUCUGGCUUGAUUGUUUUUGUGUCCUUAGAAAAGUAACAAGUUUUAUUAUAUGCAAAGUGAGAACCAAGUUUUUAAUCUUAAAUUUUAAAUUAUGUGCAUAAUUUAUUCCCUAUCUUCAAUGUUAUUGUGCCAUAUUUUAUUAUUUCAAGAUUCUAUAGUCUUUAUGUUUGUAAAGAAAGUUUGGGUAAUUGUCAUUGGUGAAACUAACAGCACUCUCAGCAGGGUUUUUGUAAUCCAAGCUCUCAGGAAGUUCUGAAGCAUGUGUUGAGACCCUGUCUCAACACCCUCCCUCACAACAACAACAACAGAAUGAAUAGUUUUAGAAUUCAGUGGUUUGCUUGCUUUUGGAUAAUGCUAUAAUUACAGUGGUACCUUGUUUCACAAACUAAAUUCUCUUCAUGAUUCUGGUUGCAAACUGAAUUGCAUGAGAACCAAAUCAAAUUCAGUGGUUAGGUUCAAUGUUGACCUCAUGGAGAAAUUGAUCAUUUCUUGCCCAGUUUGUUUUUGUGACCAGAAUUGUGAAGUGAAUUGAGUUCAUGAACCAAAACACCAUUGUAAUUGUGUGAAAGUAACUUUGCAAUUGUAAAUUUAAGGCUUAUUAAUAAAUUUAUCAUUUUUCCUAUAAUCAAAGUGGAUGUCUAAAAAUUCUAUGGUUGAUUUAUGGUUGGAGGACUCAUAUGAAUGAUCAUUAUAGUAGAUUUAACAGCAGUUUAAAAUAGCCAUUUCAGGUAUUUAAGGUACUUUUGUCUAUGAGGAAAUGAGUAAUAAAUUAUAACUCCUUACAUGGAAGGUAGUAUUUGUCAUUUCCAUAGUUGUCAUUUAGUGACAUUCAGAAAUCUUUAUUUUGUAAUAAUUUAUUUCUUUUCAGGAAAGUUGAAGUGAUAGCAUAGAUAGUUCCCAUAAAACAAGUCUAUGGUUAGUAUCUUACAUUGCCAUGAUUGAUUUUUCAAAGCUAGGAAAUUGGCUCAUUGUCAGAACAUCAUCAUUAACUAAUUGCAAAACAGUUUUUCCAUCCAGAGUACCAUAUUGCACUUAGCUCUCUUUAUUGUCUUCUGGUCAUCUGUAUGAUGACCUUUUGAGGCAAAUUUUUAGUCUUUGUUUGUUACUUUUAACAGUUUGAAGAACUACUUGUCCAGGUAUUCUAGAGUGUUUCCUAAUCUGAGUUUUUUUUUUCUUAUGCUUAAACUCAGGUUAUAAAUUUUUAAGUGAAUAUAUCAAAAUUUGUGAAGUAUCCUGUUUGUUAUCAUUUUAAGAGAUACAUGAUACUGAUAUGACAUUAAAGGUGAUAUUAUUCUGUCA